AGAGUUUGAUCAUGGCUCAGAACGAACGCUGGCGGCACGCCUAACACAUGCAAGUCGAGCGCACCUUCGGGUGAGCGGCGGACGGGUUAGUAACGCGUGGGAACAUACCCUUCACUACGGAAUAGCCUCGGGAAACUGAGAGUAAUACCGUAUACGUCCUCCGGGAGAAAGAUUUAUCGGUGAAGGAUUGGCCCGCGUUAGAUUAGAUAGUUGGUGGGGUAACGGCCUACCAAGUCUACGAUCUAUAGCUGGUUUGAGAGGAUGAUCAGCAACACUGGGACUGAGACACGGCCCAGACUCCUACGGGAGGCAGCAGUGGGGAAUCUUAGACAAUGGGCGAAAGCCUGAUCUAGCGAUGCCGCGUGAGUGACGAAGGCCUUAGGGUCGUAAAGCUCUUUCGCCAGGGAUGAUAAUGACAGUACCUGGUAAAGAAACCCCGGCUAACUCCGUGCCAGCAGCCGCGGUAAUACGGAGGGGGUUAGCGUUGUUCGGAAUUACUGGGCGUAAAGCGCGCGUAGGCGGAUUAGUAAGUUAGAGGUGAAAUCCCAUGGCUCAACCAUGGAACUGCCUUUAAUACUGCUAGUCUUGAGUUCGAGAGAGGUGAGUGGAAUUCCGAGUGUAGAGGUGAAAUUCGUAGAUAUUCGGAGGAACACCAGUGGCGAAGGCGGCUCACUGGCUCGAUACUGACGCUGAGGUGCG
Molecule: ribosomal RNA, 699 nt
Filed under: uncultured bacterium
Lineage: Bacteria
Description: bacterial SSU rRNA
Rfam family: Bacterial small subunit ribosomal RNA
Source: RNAcentral